ACUGCGGUGGAUAUGGUACAGUAUUGUGAUCGCAGCCUACAUGGGUAUACGUAUAGUGUCGUCAGCAGCACGCAAGGCCGGGCGGCUUGCGCCACGCCGGACCUCGUUCUGGCGACCGCGAUCGCCAACGUCGAUACCAGGAAGCAUUUCCCGUCGUUCGAAGGCCGAGAGCGAUAGGAGGAAAGAUCGCGGCCAGCCGAUGAUUCCCUCGCCGGCAUCAAGCCUCCAAGACGCUGCUCAUAUUUGUUCACCCCUUUGGACUCUAUUGUCUCUGGACGUACAAGUCAACAGUGAAUGUGUCACCACUGGAAGCAACAAGAAGGGCCAUAAUUUUCCCAAGAACACGGACGAAAGAGAUUAUUAUUCUGCAAGUUGCCCACGCCAAGCCAUAAGAAGCUCAACGGUCACCAUAAUGCCAACAGGUCCGCUUGAACUCCGUGC
Long non-coding RNA from Dermacentor silvarum, 441 nucleotides. RefSeq lists it as uncharacterized. NCBI's taxonomy places the organism in Eukaryota, Metazoa, Arthropoda, Arachnida, Ixodida, Ixodidae. The record is from RefSeq and is a predicted model, not a curated record. The transcript is spliced from 3 exons.